AUUGAACGCUAGCGGCAUGCCUAACACAUGCAAGUCGAACGCGUGGCGGACGGGUGAGUAAUAUAUCGGAACCUGCCCGGUGGAGGGGGAUAACUACUCGAAACGGUGGCUAAUACCGCAUACUAUUGGAUCUGCCGAGAUAGGAUUAUCUAGUUGGUGGGGUAAAGGCUCACCAGGGCGACGAUCCGUAGCUGGUCUGAGAGGAGGAACGGAGGAGCUGGAAUUGAGACACGGUCCGAAUUCCUAGAGGAGGAAGCAGUGGGGAAUAUGGGACAAUGGGGGCAAGCCUGUUGCAGCAAUGCCGCGUGUAUGAAGAAGGCCUUCUGGUUGGAGAGUAAUUUCGGCAGAGAAGCUGUGUCCGCAGAAGAAGCACCGGAUAACUACGUGCCAGCAGCCGCGGUAAUGC
RNAcentral lists this ribosomal RNA (406 nucleotides) under uncultured bacterium. Its description in RNAcentral is "partial 16S ribosomal RNA". It matches the Rfam family "Bacterial small subunit ribosomal RNA", at positions 30 to 526 of the family's 1533-position model. The record is from RNAcentral.